Molecule: ribosomal RNA, 2176 nt
Filed under: human vaginal metagenome
Description: bacterial LSU rRNA
Rfam family: Bacterial large subunit ribosomal RNA
Source: RNAcentral
UUUUGUUUUUUAGGCACACGGUGGAUGCCUGGGCAUGGCAAGCUGAUGAAGGACGUGGUGGGCUGCGUUAAGCCUCGGGGAGUUGCCGUAUGAGCGUUGAUCCGAGGGUGUCCGAAUGGGGUAACCUAGCUUUCAGUGAUGGGAGUUACUGUCUGGUGAAUUCAUAGUCAGGCAGGAGUGGUCAGGGAAGUGAAACAUCUUAGUACCUGGUGUGAGAAGAAAACAAUUGUGAUUUUGUGAGUAGUGGCGAACGAAAGCGAAUUUUUGACUAAACUGCAUGCAGCGUUGAUGCCUUGGUUGGGGUGUUGUGUGUGGGGUUGUGGGGUCUGCGUGGGUGGUCAACCUUUUGCCGCCAGUGGCCGUGCGCGUGUAGCGGAAGUGGUGUGGAAUCGCCUGCCGGAGUGGGUGAGAGUCCCGUACGUGAAAUGUGUGUGUGGCCUCGUGCGUGGUGUCCCCGAGUAGCAGUGGGCUCGUGGAAUCUGCUGUGAAUCUGCCGGGACCGUCCGGUAAGUCUGAUUUCUUGCCUAUGACCGAUAGUGGAUUAGUACCGUGAGGGAAUGGUGAAAAGUACCCCGGGAGGGGAGUGAAAUAGUUCCUGAAACCGUGUGUUGACAAUCCGUCAGAGCCUUUUUGUGGGCGAUGGCGUGCCUUUUGAAGAAUGAGCCUGCGAGUCAGCGGCAUGUCGCUUGUAGUUAACCCUUUGUUGGGGGUAGCUGGAGGGAAACCGAAUCCUAAGUAGGGUGUUGGUGGCAUGUUCUGGACCCGAAGCGGGGUGAUCUACCCAUGGCCAGUGUGAAGCAAGGGUAAGACUUUGUGGAGGCGCGAACCCACGUAGGUUGAAAACUGCGGGGAUGAGUUGUGGGUAGGGGUGAAAGGCCAAUCAAACUCCGUGAUAGCUGGUUCUCCCCGAAAUGCAUUUAGGUGCAGCGUUAUAGUAGUGCUGUGGAGGUAGAGCUACUGGUUGAUUGAGCGGGAUUUUGUCUUAGUGACGUCAGCCAAACUCCGAAUGCCGCAUGUAUGUUCUAUGGCAGUGAGACUGCGGGGGAUAAGCUUCGUAGUCGAGAGGGAAACAGCCCAGAUCGCCGGUUAAGGCCCCUAAGGGUGUGCUAAGUGGAAAAGGAUGUGUAAUCGCGAUGACAGCCAGGAGGUUGGCUUAGAAGCAGCCAUCCUUGAAAGAGUGCGUAAUAGCUCACUGGUUUAGUGGUUGUGCGCCGACAAUGUAGUGGGGCUGAAGUACACCGCCGAAACCGCGGCAAGGAUAAUUUUUUUGUUUUUGGGUAGGGGAGCGUCGUGCAUGGUGUGAAGCAGGCUGGUGACGGUUUGUGGAUGUGUGUGCGAGUGAGAAUGCAGGCAUGAGUAGCGAAUGGUAGGUGAAAAUCCUACCCGCCGGAUGACUAAGGGUUCCUGGGUGAAGCUGGUCUUCCCAGGGUGAGUCGGGACCUAAGGCGAGGCCGACAGGCGUAGUCGAUGGAUAACCAGUUGAUAUUCUGGUACCCGCGUUUGUGCGACAAGUGGUGAAUCAUUGAUACUAACCGCUUUCAUGCAUUUCCGAUGGCAGGACUUUGUUCUGCUGGUUGUGUGUGGUGGUGGGACCUGAGGUGGUAGUAGCCAAGUGAUGGGGUGACACAGUAGGGUAGCCGCGCCACUGAGUGGAUUGUGGUGUAAGCGUGUGGCACGAUGGUUUGUUAAAUGCGACUGUCAUAUGUGUGAGGCGUGAUGCGUAGCCCUUUUAAGGGUGAUGGUGGUGAUCCUGUGCUGUCGAGAAAAGCCUCUAGCGAGUGCAAGUGUGGCCCGUACCCUAAACCGACACAGGUGGUCAGGUUGAGAAUACUAAGGCGAACGGGUGAACUAUGGUUAAGGAAUUCGGCAAAAUGCCCCCGUAACUUCGGGAGAAGGGGGACCCAUGACCGUUGCUGACAGCAUUUUGGCGGUUGUGGGGCGCAGAGAAUAGAGGGAAGCGACUGUUUACCAAAAACAUAGGUCUGUGCGAAGAAGGUUAAUUCGAUGUAUACGGACUGACGCCUGCCCGGUGCUGGAAGGUUAAGAGGACCUGUUAGAUCAUUUUUUGGUCGAAGCGGAGAAUUUAAGCCCCAGUAAACGGCGGUGGUAACUAUAACCAUCCUAAGGUAGCGAAAUUCCUUGUCGGGUAAGUUCCGACCUGCACGAAUGGCGUAAC